Molecule: non-coding RNA, 477 nt
Organism: Hemibagrus wyckioides
Lineage: Eukaryota; Metazoa; Chordata; Actinopteri; Siluriformes; Bagridae
Source: the annotation of a RefSeq genome assembly
UUAGUUCCGUCUGUAGUCUCAUUAUAAAAAGUCACUAUGAUCAGAGUUCUAGUCAUUUUUCAGUCAUUCUACUGGAUUCAAGGAGUCUUAGGGGUGAAUGAUGUGUCUCAGUCCAGUACACUCUGGGUUACAAUGGGUCAAUCAGCCACAAUAAACUGCUCACACUCCAAGGAUUCAUCUUACAAUAGGAUGUACUGGUUCCGUCAACUUCAUGGAGAGAGCAUGGAGCUCAUAGUGUACUCUCCCACAUACGGCACUCCAGAUUUUGGAACUUUCAGCGAAAGUAAAUUCUCAGUCAGUAAAACAGUUCCUCAGAGCGGCUCCUUCACAGUGAAGGAUGUGGAUUAUAAUGAUAGAGGUGUGUAUUUCUGUGCCGUGAGUGAACACAGUGUUAUAACCACAAGACAGAGCUGUACAAAAACACUCUGUGGGUCUCAGUCAGGAGGAAAAGUGAAUGAACCAAAGGGGGUACUAUGA